RNAcentral lists this transfer RNA (85 nucleotides) under Felis catus (domestic cat). It matches the Rfam family "tRNA". From Rfam's summary of the family: Transfer RNA (tRNA) molecules are approximately 80 nucleotides in length. Their secondary structure includes four short double-helical elements and three loops (D, anti-codon, and T loops). Lineage: Eukaryota; Metazoa; Chordata; Mammalia; Carnivora; Felidae. The record is from Rfam by way of RNAcentral.
GCCUGGGUGGUUCAGUCAGUUAAACGUCUGACUUCAGCUCAGGUCAUGAUCUCGUGGUUCGUGGGUUCAAGUCCCAUUUCCGGCU